This 23-nucleotide non-coding RNA is filed under the name Cricetulus griseus (Chinese hamster). Lineage: Eukaryota; Metazoa; Chordata; Mammalia; Rodentia; Cricetidae. The record is from RNAcentral.
UCCCGGCCAAUGCAAAGAGAACU